GAUGAACGCUGGCGGCGUGCCUAAUACAUGCAAGUCGAGCGAAUAGACGAGGAGCUUGCUCCUCUGACGUUAGCGGCGGACGGGUGAGUAACACGUGGAUAACCUACCUAUAAGACUGGGAUAACUUCGGGAAACCGGAGCUAAUACCGGAUAAUAUAUUGAACCGCAUGGUUCAAUAGUGAAAGACGGUUUUGCUGUCACUUAUAGAUGGAUCCGCGCCGCAUUAGCUAGUUGGUAAGGUAACGGCUUACCAAGGCAACGAUGCGUAGCCGACCUGGGAGGGGGGUGGGCAAACAGGAAAAGAGACACGGAGCACAAUCCGAGAGGGGGGCGCAAGAAGGAAGCUUACGGAAAGGGGAGAAGUAGGGAGGGAGAAAGCCGGGGGGAGAAAGAAGGGUUUGGGAAAAGAAAAACUUUUUUAUGGGGGAAAAAAAAAUGUGAAAGUAAAAAGGCACGUCUGAAGGAUACAAAAGAAGAAAAACCGGCAAAACUAGGUG
This 497-nucleotide ribosomal RNA is filed under the name uncultured bacterium. Its description in RNAcentral is "partial 16S ribosomal RNA". The stretch from base 20 to 340 matches the Rfam family "Bacterial small subunit ribosomal RNA", at positions 47 to 358 of the family's 1533-position model. The record is from RNAcentral.